RNAcentral lists this ribosomal RNA (484 nucleotides) under uncultured bacterium. Its description in RNAcentral is "partial 16S ribosomal RNA". It matches the Rfam family "Bacterial small subunit ribosomal RNA", at positions 30 to 507 of the family's 1533-position model. The record is from RNAcentral.
AUUGAACGCUGGCGGAAUGCUUUACACAUGCAAGUCGAACGGCAGCACGGGGGCAGCCCUGGUGGCGAGUGGCGAACGGGUGAGUAAUACAUCGGAACGUGCCCGGUCGUGGGGGAUAACGUAGCGAAAGUUACGCUAAUACCGCAUACGAUCUGAGGAUGAAAGCGGGGGACCUUCGGGCCUCGCGCGAUCGGAGCGGCCGAUGUCAGAUUAGGUAGUUGGUGGGGUAAAGGCCUACCAAGCCGACGAUCUGUAGCUGGUCUGAGAGGACGACCAGCCACACUGGGACUGAGACACGGCCCAGACUCCUACGGGAGGCAGCAGUGGGGAAUUUUGGACAAUGGGCGCAAGCCUGAUCCAGCCAUUCCGCGUGCAGGACGAAGGCCUUCGGGUUGUAAACUGCUUUUGUACGGAACGAAAAGGCUCUGGCUAAUACCUGGGGCUCAUGACGGUACUGUAAGAAUAAGCACCGGCUAACUACGUG